GCCGUCGUAACCCGUUAAGGAGGCGGAACGGACUGUAAAUCCGUUGUCUUAUGACUCGAGUGGGUUCGAUACCCUCAGGCGGCACCA
This 87-nucleotide transfer RNA is filed under the name Clostridiales bacterium. RNAcentral describes it as "tRNA-Tyr". It matches the Rfam family "tRNA". Rfam says of the family: Transfer RNA (tRNA) molecules are approximately 80 nucleotides in length. Their secondary structure includes four short double-helical elements and three loops (D, anti-codon, and T loops). Lineage: Bacteria; Bacillati; Bacillota; Clostridia; Eubacteriales. The record is from RNAcentral.